GCUGGGCGUGGUGGCGCAUGCCUGUAAUCCCAGCUACUCGGGAGGCUGAGGCAGGAGAAUCGCUUGAACCUGGGAGGUGGAGGUUGCAGUGAGCUGAGAUUGUGCCAUUGCACUCCAGCCUGGGCGACAGAGUGAGACUCUGUCUCAA
Molecule: unclassified non-coding RNA, 148 nt
Organism: Pongo abelii (Sumatran orangutan)
Lineage: Eukaryota; Metazoa; Chordata; Mammalia; Primates; Hominidae
Rfam family: Metazoan signal recognition particle RNA
About the family: The signal recognition particle (SRP) is a universally conserved ribonucleoprotein. It is involved in the co-translational targeting of proteins to membranes. The eukaryotic SRP consists of a 300-nucleotide 7S RNA and six proteins: SRPs 72, 68, 54, 19, 14, and 9.
Source: Ensembl